GGGAGUGAACUGGUUGAGAAAAGUGGAAGCUUGUGGAAAAGCGACUUGAGAAGUUUGUAAGAAAACCCUAAAUUAUCAGUCUUGUGGGAAGAAGGCAUUUCGUCUCCACGCAGAGGACCCUAAUCACAUAAAGAAUAUAAGAACCAUCAAGACCAACCAGGUUUGACCGGGUUCUUCAAAAGCAACACCUGCAGUCGAGUCCAUGCCAGACAGUGGGUGCAUGUGAAUGAAUUGCCUUUUGACUAACUUUUGUGUGUUCCUUAUCAAAUACAUGAAGAUUUUCAAA
Long non-coding RNA from Dreissena polymorpha, 286 nucleotides. RefSeq lists it as uncharacterized. The record is from RefSeq and is a predicted model, not a curated record. NCBI's taxonomy places the organism in Eukaryota, Metazoa, Mollusca, Bivalvia, Myida, Dreissenidae. The transcript is spliced from 2 exons.